GUCCUACGGGGGGCAGCAGUGAGGAAUAUUGGUCAAUGGGCGCUAGCCUGAACCAGCCAAGUAGCGUGAAGGAUGACUGCCCUAUGGGUUGUAAACUUCUUUUGUCAAGGGACAAAAUCAGGCUCGAGAGCCUGACCGAGGGUACUUGAAGAAAAAGCAUCGGCUAACUCCGUGCCAGCAGCCGCGGUAAUACGGAGGAUGCGAGCGUUAUCCGGAUUUAUUGGGUUUAAAGGGUGCGUAGGCGGACUGUUAAGUCAGCGGUAAAAGCCCGGGGCUCAACCCCGGCGAGCCGUUGAAACUGACUG
RNAcentral lists this ribosomal RNA (305 nucleotides) under uncultured bacterium. Its description in RNAcentral is "bacterial SSU rRNA". It matches the Rfam family "Bacterial small subunit ribosomal RNA", at positions 335 to 639 of the family's 1533-position model. The record is from RNAcentral.